CAUAUACUCCCUCCGUCCUAAAAUUCUCGUCUUAGAUUUGUCUAGAUACGGAUGUAUCUAGACAAAUCUAAGACGAGCAUUUUGGGACGGAGGGAGUAUAUA
Triticum aestivum (bread wheat) is the source of this 102-nucleotide non-coding RNA. Lineage: Eukaryota; Viridiplantae; Streptophyta; Magnoliopsida; Poales; Poaceae. The record is from Rfam.